This 119-nucleotide ribosomal RNA is filed under the name Pelobates cultripes (western spadefoot toad). The record is from RNAcentral. Lineage: Eukaryota; Metazoa; Chordata; Amphibia; Anura; Pelobatidae.
GCCUACGGCCAUACCACCCUGAACGCGCCCGAUCUCGUCUAAUCUCGGAAACUAAGCAGGGUCGGGCCUGGUUAGUACUUGGAUGGGAGACCGCCUGGGAAUACCAGGUGUUGUAGGUU